Molecule: ribosomal RNA, 773 nt
Filed under: Octostigma sinensis
Lineage: Eukaryota; Metazoa; Arthropoda; Diplura; Rhabdura; Octostigmatidae
Description: 12S ribosomal RNA
Source: RNAcentral
UUAUAUAAAAUAUGACAUUUUAUUUUAGAUGAUAGUAUGAUUUUCGUCGCAAAAUAUCUAGAGAGAAUUAUAAAAGAUAAGGAAAUUAGUAUAUAUAAUGAAAAAUAAGAACAAUCUUUUUUCUGUGUAGAUGUAAAAAAUUCAAGCAAAUUUAGUGCCAGCAGCUGCGGUUAUGCUAAAUGGGUAAAUUAUAAGGAUGAAAUAAAAAAUUGGAAGAAGGAUAGAUUAUUUGAGUUCAGAAAAAUCGCAGGGUUUGGGUGAAAUGAGAACUAGGGAAGAAAUGAGUGAUUAUAAAUGUUUAUAUUGAUUUGAAAAGGUUCGUGAAAAUCAGGAUUAGAUACCCUGUUAUGGAGAAGUAAGAGAGAUAUAAUAUUGGGGUAAUAAGAUAAAUUGAGUGAAACCUAAGAAAUUUGACGGUAUUUUUCCUGGUAGAGGAGCUUGAUCUAUAAACGACAGUCCGCGAAAUUCUUUCUUCUCGAAAAUAAUUCAUAUAUCUCCGUUUAAGAUUCUUUGAAUAAAGGUUUCUUAGGAAAAAUAAAAUUUAGAAAUUCAGGUCAAGGUGUGGUUUGUUGGGAAGUUUGAAUUGGGCUACAAGAAAUUAAAAAUAAGUGUUAAGUUGGUUUUUGAUAUUAAAAGUGAACUUAUAUGAAUGGAUUUACUAGUAAUGGAGAAAAAUUGAAUUGGGAAUUUUAAUGUGUACAUAUUGCCCGUCACUCUUAUUAGAGUAAGAAAAGUCGUAACAUAGUAGGGAUAUUGGAAAAUGUUUCUAGAAA